ACGACCGGCGCACGGGUGAGUAACACGUUUGCAACCUACCUCUAACUGGAGGAUAGGGCGAGAGAAAUUCGGAUUAAUAUUCCAUAAAGUCAAUUUAAGGCAUCUUUUAUUGAUUAAAGCUCCGGCGGUUAGAGAUGGGCAUGCGUGUCAUUAGCUAGUUGGUGAGGUAACGGCUCACCAAGGCCACGAUGACUAGGGGGUCUGAGAGGAUGAUCCCCCACACUGGUACUGAGACACGGACCAGACUCCGAGCGGGAGGCAGCAGUGAGGAAUAUUGGGCAAUGGACGCAAGUCUGACCCAGCCAUGCCGCGUGCAGGAUGACUGCCCUAUGGGUUGUAAACUGCUUUUGUUUGGGAAGAAACCCCCGAUCGUGAUCGGGGCUGACGGUACCAUACGAAUAAGCAUCGGCUAACUCCGUGCCAGCAGCCGCGGUAAUACGGAGGAUGCAAGCGUUAUCCGGAUUCAUUGGGUUUAAAGGGUGCGCAGGCGGAAUAUUAAGUCAGUGGUGAAAUCCUGCAGCUUAACUGUAGAACUGCCAUUGAUACUGAUAUUCUUGAAUAUAGUUGAGGUAGGCGGAAUGUGUAAUGUAGCGGUGAAAUGCUUAGAUAUUACACAGAACACCAAUUGCGAAGGCAGCUCACUAAACUAAUAUUGACGCUGAGGCACGAAAGCGUGGGUAGCAAACAGGAUUAGAUACCCUGGUAGUCCACGCUGUAAACUAUGAUCACUCGCUGUUGGCAAUACAUCGUCAGCGGCUGAGCGAAAGCAUUAAGUGAUCCACCUGGGGAGUACGGUCGCAAGAUUGAAACUCAAAGGAAUUGACGGGGGCCCGCACAAGCGGAGGAACAUGUGGUUUAAUUCGAUGAUACGCGAGGAACCUUACCUGGGCUUAAAUGCAGAGCGACGUCCGCCGAAAGGUGGAUUCCUUCGGGCGAUCUGCAAGGUGCUGCAUGGUUGUCGUCAGCUCGUGCCGUGAGGUGUCGGGUUAAGUCCCAUAACGAGCGCAACCCUUAUCGUUAGUUGCCAGCGGGUAAUGCCGGGGACUCUAACGAAACUGCCCGGUGUAAACCGUGAGGAAGGUGGGGAUGACGUCAAAUCAGCACGGCCCUUAUGUCCAGGGCUACACACGUGUUACAAUGGUCGGUACAGAGGGCAGCUACCACGCGAGUGGAUGCUAAUCUCGAAAACCGGUCUCAGUUCGGAUUGAAGUCUGCAACUCGACUUCAUGAAGCUGGAUUCGCUAGUAAUCGCGCAUCACCCAUGGCGCGGUGAUACGUUCCCGGGCCUGUACACACCGCCCGUCAAGCCAUGAAGCUUGGGGUACCUGAAGUCCGUA
This 1337-nucleotide ribosomal RNA is filed under the name uncultured organism. RNAcentral's name for it is "16S ribosomal RNA". It matches the Rfam family "Bacterial small subunit ribosomal RNA", at positions 91 to 1432 of the family's 1533-position model. The record is from RNAcentral.